GCUGUACUAUUACACUAUCCUGGUCACAGUUCUAUAGUGAGAGGGUGUACUGUGUGACUAUCCUGGUCACAGUUCUAUAGUGAGAGGGUGUACUGUUACACUAUCCUGGUCACAGUUCUAUAGUGAGAGGCUGUACAGUGUGACUAUCCUGGUCACAGUUCAAUAGUGAGAGGCUGUACUGUUACACUAUCCUGGUCACAGUUCUAUAGAGAGAUGCUGUACUGUUACACUAUCCUGGUCACAGUUCUAUAGUGAGAGGCUGUACUAUUACACUAUCCUGGUCACAGUUCUAUAGUGAGAGGGUGUACUGUGUGACUAUCCUGGUCACAGUUCUAUAGUGAGAGGGUGUACUGUUACACUAUCCUGGUCACAGUUCUAUAGUGAGAGGCUGUACUGUUACACUAUCCUGGUCACAGUUCUAUAGUGAGAGGCUGUACUGUUACACUAUCCUGGUCACAGUUCUAUAGUGAGAGGCUGUACUGUGUGAAUAUCCUGGUCACAGUUCUAUAGUGAGAGGCUGUACUGUUACACUAUCCUGGUCACAGUUCUAUAGUGAGAGGCUGUACUGUGUGUGUGUGUGUGUGUGUGUGUCUGUGUGUGUGUGUGUGUAUACGUCUGUUUGUCUCUGUGUGUGUGUGUGUGUCUGUCUGUCUGUCUGUCUGUCUGUCUGUCUGUCUGUCUGUCUGUCUGUCUGUCUGUCUGUCUGUCUGUCUGUCUGUCUGUCUGUCUGUCUGUCUGUCUCUGUGUGUGUGUGUGUACGGCUGUACAGUACCAGGAUUAAACUGCCAGUUAUAUUCACUGUGAAUCACUGGAACGGUUCCGUGAAUGAACUCCUUACACAGGCACACGUUGUCCAAAUAAUAACACACAAUCCUUUUAUAGGGCUUCUCCUAAACCCACAGAGGAAACCUGAAGUCCAUCUGCCUACAGAGGAACUCCUUACAAACUUGGACAAAAAUAGAAAUAUCUUCCACACACUCUAGUUCCUCCGUACAUUUCUUGUGGGUGACGUUUGGGUACAAUACCUUUUUUGUUAUCUCAUAACAGCCACACACAAACAGUUCAAUUAUUAUAUUCUGCCAUGUGAAAUAAUUCAAUGGAUUUGAAAAACUUGAACUUGAACAUUGUAAUUCGUUGUUGUUAUUGAGAAAUGGAGUUGUGGCACAUUACACAGUUCAGAGACCUUGACUGAUAAAUACAAUUUUACGGUAGAUGAAUGACAAGAUAUAAUGUAUAAUUAAAUUCUGCAGUCAAACUUUUUUCAUUAUGUAAGCCAAAAAUGUUUGUGGAUAUGUGUGCA
This 1300-nucleotide long non-coding RNA is filed under the name Salmo salar (Atlantic salmon). RNAcentral's name for it is "lncRNA (ENSSSAG00000096640.1)". The record is from RNAcentral. Lineage: Eukaryota; Metazoa; Chordata; Actinopteri; Salmoniformes; Salmonidae.